UACAGAGGUCUCAAGCGUUGUUCGGAUUCAUUGGGCGUAAAGGGUGCGUAGGUGGCGGGGUAAGUCAGGUGUGAAAUUUCGGAGCUUAACUCCGAAACUGCAUUUGAUACUGCCUUGCUUGAGGACUGGAGAGGAGACUGGAAUUUACGGUGUAGCAGUGAAAUGCGUAGAUAUCGUCUGGAACGCCAAAGGUGAAAACAGCUCGCUGGGGUUGUGCUGACGCUGAGACACGAAAGCCAGGGGAGCGAACGGG
This 253-nucleotide ribosomal RNA is filed under the name uncultured bacterium. RNAcentral describes it as "partial 16S ribosomal RNA". It matches the Rfam family "Bacterial small subunit ribosomal RNA", at positions 524 to 776 of the family's 1533-position model. The record is from RNAcentral.